UGGAUGAUCUUUUGUGUUAGUAAUAAACAAAUCAGACAUAAACAAGUCAGUCAUAAACAGGAAAAUAAACAUCCAUUAAUAACGUGCUUUGAUUAACGUAACAUGUAGUCGGCUAUAAAGACACUGACAAUGUUUUUAAAUACCGUUCUCUGCUAUAUUAAAAGACAAUGAAAAUGUUGAAUAACGUAGUGGGCUACUGGGCUUAUAUUCGGGGGACUUAUAUUUGGG
Molecule: non-coding RNA, 228 nt
Organism: Paramuricea clavata
Lineage: Eukaryota; Metazoa; Cnidaria; Anthozoa; Malacalcyonacea; Plexauridae
Source: the annotation of a GenBank genome assembly